RNAcentral lists this transfer RNA (75 nucleotides) under Marmota monax (woodchuck). Its description in RNAcentral is "tRNA.Ala". The record is from RNAcentral. Lineage: Eukaryota; Metazoa; Chordata; Mammalia; Rodentia; Sciuridae.
UGAGGCUGUAGCUCAGUGGCAGAGUGCUUGCCUAGCAUGCACCAAGCCAUGGGUUCAAUCCCCAGCACCCCUCAA